RNAcentral lists this ribosomal RNA (239 nucleotides) under uncultured bacterium. RNAcentral's name for it is "partial 16S ribosomal RNA". It matches the Rfam family "Bacterial small subunit ribosomal RNA", at positions 15 to 233 of the family's 1533-position model. The record is from RNAcentral.
GAUCAUGGGCUCAGGAUGAACGCUGGCGGCGUGCUUAACACAUGCAAGUCGAACGAAGCACUUUAUUUGAUUUCCUUCGGGACUGAUUAUUUUGUGACUGAGUGGCGGACGGGUGAGUAACGCGUGGGUAACCUGCCUUGUACAGGGGGAUAACAGUUGGAAACGGCUGCUAAUACCGCAUAAGCGCACAGCAUCGCAUGAUGCAGUGUGAAAAACUCCGGUGGUAUAAGAUGGACCCG